CCCCCCCCGGUGUUCCGGUUUAGCGUAACUCUUUCUCCCGCCCCCUCCGCCACGUGCUUUUCCUGCUGCUUAGCACUGCAAGUUCCCCUAGCUUCACUCCAGAAAGGCAGUCUUGCAUAGUGGUUAGGGCGAGGUUGGUGAGUCUGCGGUUCUCCAGGCGUUGCUGGAGAGCAGCUCCCAUAAUCGCUGCCCGUUGGCGAUGUUGGCUGGGCUGAUGGGAACUGGAGCCCAGCCACAUCUGGAGCGCCAAAUGUUGGCAAACCAUACAUUAAAAAGAAACACACACAUACCAAGAAGCCUGGGAACUGUAGCUUACCACCUAAAGUGCUGCAGUUCCCAGCACGUGGGAAACUAGAAAGUUCUCGGGAUUCUUUGGAGAGGAAUGUGCCUAAAUGUAGGGCGUGUGCUCAGUCUAAUCCUUAGUCGACCGUGUGCGGGAUGAGGCUUUUGUACUCUGAGUGAGCCCGUCGCUUCCUCUCUCCGCCGAACUUCACCUCGCAGGGCUGUUGUGAGGAUAAAAAGGAAAGAGAAGGAACCAAGUGUGCUGUCUUUCGCUCCUCAGAGGAAGGUGGUAAGCAAAUGUAACACAUAUAUAAAUGUGCAUGAAAUUACACUCCUGGUCACCUAUUGCCACCACAAAAUGUAUAGCGACAAACUUCGAAGACUGAGCAAUAUGUUAUUUCGGCGUCCACAACUCUUUAGCGGCUCAUACAAUAUCUCUCUUUUAUUUUUUAAAUUCCAAAGAGCUAGAUCUGCCUGCAGAUAUGGAAAAUUCCACCUUCUUUUUCUGUUAUGGUGCUAAGUGGGGAUGCAGCAACGUGUAAAAUUACAGUAGAAAACAAAUCUAUCCCAAACAUCCCUUGGUGGGCAUAAAUUAGCGGGUGCUUGAAUCUAUCUUUAAAAAUAUUAAAUAUUUAUUAUGACCAUUUCAUUCCUUUCCCAACUUUUUCUGUUUCUAACAGUCUUUUAAGAACCAAUAGGGGGCAUAGGAGUGCUUUGCAUUGGUAGAAACUGAAAAAUGAACUGCUUUUGCUUUAGGAUAAAUAAUUAGAGUAGAGACCUGAGCUCCAGUGAAACUGAUGUUAACUCAACAUAACUGCUGAUUUUCCAAACCAGGUAAUAAAAAUAAGUGGGUAAAAAACUAACCAAAAAGGUCUGGAUGCCCCAGAGACAGGGGGUGGGUGGCAAUUUCUAAGAGGGUGUUUAUUUUACAGUACCUCAAAUUCUGGUUACCAAGAUUUCCAGCUGUUCAGCAGGCCCCUACUGGUUUACUUUUAUCUAGGGUGAACACGUGUCUUACUUGUGUCUUACAGAGGACAGUCCUCUAUUAUGAAGGGUUAUAAGAGGACAGUCCUCCAUCUGAAGGGUUGUCCAGGGCAAGUCCACUUUAAAGAAUAAUAAUCCUAAUAUAGUAAUAAUAAUAAUAAUAAAAAUAAUUUUUUUUAUUUAUAUCCCGCUCUCCCCAGCCGAAGCCAGGCUCAGAGCGGCUAACACCAAAUGUAUAACACAUUAACAUAAAAUCAGACAAUCAAUUAAAAUACAUCCUCAAAUCAGAUCAAGAUCAGAAUAAAAUCCAAUCAGAUGGCAACCUGCAGAUUAGGGUUGGGGAGCUUAAAUGCUCACCAGGCCCAACUGUUUGUGCUGUUUGUGCUUUGAAGUUAGCAGCACCCAGACAGCAGACCGAGAGGGCAAACAGAACACCUGGUCACAGGUGAGAUACCUGGUGAUAAUCAGAUUCUCACAUUUCUAUGAUGAUAGCAAAUUUUCUGAUAUUGCAUCGAUACCUAUAAGUUAACAUAUACAAAUUUUAUGCAAAAUGGCGCCUUUUGUCCUCCUUGCUGUGAUGCAGUUCCUCCUCAGUCUUUCCCCCUGCAACAGUGUUUAAGUGGCUACCGUAUUCUUAGAUCUUCAGCAACAACAAAAAACGCUUUUCAGAGCAUGGAUAGCUAUUUAUUAUACAACAAAUGAACAUGGAACUUUACAGCGUGAGUGACAUAAAAAACAAACAAGAAGCUACUUUCAUUCAGUUGGAGUUUUCAGCCUAAACUUUGGCUCUGUACAUAUUACCGUUUACUCUGGCUGCAGUGCUCUCCAACCACUGGUGUUCUGAAGCUGUGUACACAUGACAUUAGCCACAAUCCAUAUUUGUCCUGUAGUUUCUUGAAAAAUACAGCAUUUUCUGUCAAACCAGAUUCCAUCCGAUUUGAAAAUGUAAGUCACAUUCACUUUGCAGUUAAACUGAUGUAUGUACAUUUCAGGCAACCAUAGCCCAUGCACAGAUGGCAGCUUCACUGAAUAGGAGUUUGCAGCGGCAGGAGGGGUGUGUGUGGCAGGCAUGGGGAGGCAAGUCAGGUAAAGCACAACAGGUGAAGACAUUUCUGCUCCACUUUGGCAUGUACAGCAAUGUGCAAAUAUGAAUUGAAAAGUAGCAUGGGGUGUGGAGGGGGUGAUGUUGCAUUUUAAGUCACUAAUGUUUACAUAGCCUUUGACAGAGAGGAAGACAAGAGCUGACUCAGAUAGUGGCAGAUUUUCGAGACUUAGUAUGAACAUCUCGGCCAAUAUGAGUGGGGCCACCAGCUUCGGUGCUUAUUGCCAUAGCAUCUUAUUUUAAGAAGUAUUUUAUAGUUGGCCCAGACACGCCCAUGAUUACAGGUGCACGUUUUUUAAUUUUUUACUUUUAAAACAAAAUUGUGCUUAUUUUCAAGUAAAUGUAUUUAACAUUAGCCCAGCAGAAGCAACCCCUGUUUUAUUUGUCUACUCCUGGGUGUAUGGUUAUUUCAGUGAGUUUAAAUGCAAAACUGCACAUCUUAAAGCAGGGUUCUUUCUUAAAGCAGGGUUUAGGGAUGUGGGAACCUGAGGGGGUGGGAAGAAGAGAAAGGUGAAUUAGAGAAUCAGAGAAGUUGGAAGGACCACCAGGGUCAUCUAGUCCAAUCUCCUGCAAUGCUGUCUAAAGGGGGACCAUCCAUAAGUUCAGGGUCUAACUCUGCUUCUGGGAAGGAAGAACAGCAGGAGCAAGGAAGAGCAGGACAGACUUUUGGAAAUUCAGUCACACACACCACUGUUUUCUACUGCAGAUUAAGCCACCAUUCAAGACAGAGCAUCAGGGUUUAGCUGAAAAGUUGGCAAUCCAUUACUGAUCAUGAGAGUUAUUGGCAACCUCUGUUGCUGUUUAAAACCACGAUUUUCCUCUCAGUGGUGCAGGAGGUUACCGUGGGGGAUGGUUUGUUUGUUUGUAAGGAGUUGAUUGCAGAAAAAGAGGGCGAGGGGAUUGGUGGGUAGAAUGAGCAAGGGUCCAGGCCCUAGCACUGAGAUAUUUUUGUUUGUGUGCAGCAAAAUAAGAAUUGGAAAAACAGGAUAAAAAAACAACAACUUUUAUUUAUCUCACUUCUCAAUGGUUUCUGCGACAAAGGGAGCCAUCUCUCUACACAAAGGAAUAAUAGAAUCUCAUGCUGGAAGACACUUAUUAGAUCAUAGCCUGUCUCCCCGCCAGUCGGGCAGGAUUGUUCCUGACAACAGAUUAAUAGUACCAUCCACCAACAAGUGUUGCAAGCAAACAGAUGAUCUUUUCUUUUGCUUGCUAUUCUUGUAGAGAGAAUAUUGUCAUUUUAACAAGAUUUUGUUGUUGUUGUUACUACCAAUGAAAUACUGUUCCUUAAAAAUAAAAUCCUGCAGAUGCCUCCUCCUGGAUUGUUCCUAAGUGAGGUUCUGUCUUCUUCUCAAGUCUGUGUUUCCUUCCUCUGAGUCUGCAAGAAGUUGGGAAGGAGACCUGGCUUCCAAGCUACUUCAAUGGAGCCUUCUCAUCCCCCAGACAGACUAAUGCCUGUUAAAGGAGUCAACAGUGGAAAUGUCCAUCCCAUGUGCUUGCGCACACACACACACACACACACACAUACACAGAGACCCACACCCCAAACUUUCUGUUUACCAGGGAUGUUUCUGAAGCAAGUGAUAUAUUUUUAUUUUCAGGUGAUCCAUUUCAACCAAACUUUAGAUGUUUUUUAAAUAAUGUUUGAUUGGAUGUACUCUUUUAUAAUUUUACCACCUGCUGUUUUUAAAGUCUGUUUUUGUUGCUAAUUUUUAAUGAACCACAUCUACUCUUUUGCAGUGCUUUUCUCUGUCUCAAUUUGACUCAAGAAAAUCACACUUUUAUAGUUCAAAUCGGGGAAGAUAAAUACAGUAAAUGGACAAAAGUACGAAGAUUCACAAAAUGUUUAGGGGUAUGUGUACCCCUGCGUCCCCCCAGAAAAAGAACACUGCUCUUAUGUAACCCUCUCUCUCCCACUGUGUGUGGUUAUAUACAUCUAGCCAUUGUUGGUGUUCAUGUUUCUCUCUGAUGUUUUAUUGUGUUUUUAAUAUUAUGUUGGGAGCCGCCCAAAUCCAGCC
RNAcentral lists this long non-coding RNA (4383 nucleotides) under Podarcis lilfordi (Lilford's wall lizard). Lineage: Eukaryota; Metazoa; Chordata; Lepidosauria; Squamata; Lacertidae. The record is from RNAcentral.